GGCAAGAUGGCCGAGCGGUUAAGGCGGUAGACUCAAGGGUAAUAUAUCCUUACCUGUAAAACGGGCAAAUAUUCUACUGGGGAAACCCGCGCGAGUUCGAAUCUCGCUCUUGUCA
This 115-nucleotide transfer RNA is filed under the name Xylaria acuta. RNAcentral's name for it is "tRNA-Leu". It matches the Rfam family "tRNA". From Rfam's summary of the family: Transfer RNA (tRNA) molecules are approximately 80 nucleotides in length. Their secondary structure includes four short double-helical elements and three loops (D, anti-codon, and T loops). The record is from RNAcentral. Lineage: Eukaryota; Fungi; Ascomycota; Sordariomycetes; Xylariales; Xylariaceae.